Molecule: ribosomal RNA, 403 nt
Filed under: uncultured bacterium
Lineage: Bacteria
Description: bacterial SSU rRNA
Rfam family: Bacterial small subunit ribosomal RNA
Source: RNAcentral
AGUGAACGCUGGCGGCAGGCCUAACACAUGCAAGUCGAGCGGCAGCGCGUCCGACCACCCUCGGGUGGUCGGAUGGCGGCGAGCGGCGGACGGGUGAGGAAUGCAUCGGAAUCUGCCUCGUUGUGGGGGAUAACGUAGGGAAACUUACGCUAAUACCGCAUACGCCCUGAGGGGGAAAGCGGGGGAUUCUUCGGAACCUCGCGCGAUUGGAGCGGCCGAUGUCGGAUUAGCUAGUAGGUGAGGUAAAGGCUCACCUAGGCGACGAUCCGUAGCGGGUCUGAGAGGAUGAUCCGCCACACUGGGACUGAGACACGGCCCAGACUCCUACGGGAGGCAGCAGUGGGGAAUUUUGGACAAUGGGCGCAAGCCUGAUCCAGCCAUGCCGCGUGAGUGAAGAAGGCCU